This 402-nucleotide ribosomal RNA is filed under the name uncultured bacterium. Its description in RNAcentral is "bacterial SSU rRNA". It matches the Rfam family "Archaeal small subunit ribosomal RNA", at positions 339 to 741 of the family's 1478-position model. The record is from RNAcentral.
GCGCGAAACCUCCGCAAUGCGAGCAAUCGCGACGGGGGGACCCCAAGUGCCACUCUUAACGGGGUGGCUUUUCUCAAGUGUAAAAAGCUUUUGGAAUAAGGGCUGGGCAAGACCGGUGCCAGCCGCCGCGGUAACACCGGCAGCCCAAGUGGUGGCCAUUUUUAUUGGGCCUAAAGCGUUCGUAGCCGGCCUGAUAAGUCUCUGGUGAAAUCCCGCAGCUUAACUGUGGGAAUUGCUGGAGAUACUAUCAGGCUUGAGGUCGGGAGAGGUUAGAGGUACUCCCAGGGUAGGGGUGAAAUCCUAUAAUCCUGGGAGGACCACCUGUGGCGAAGGCGUCUAACUGGAACGAACCUGACGGUGAGUAACGAAAGCCAGGGGCGCGAACCGGAUUAGAUACCCCGG